Molecule: ribosomal RNA, 931 nt
Filed under: uncultured bacterium
Lineage: Bacteria
Description: bacterial SSU rRNA
Rfam family: Bacterial small subunit ribosomal RNA
Source: RNAcentral
GAGUUUGAUCAUGGCUCAGGACGAACGCUGGCGGCGUGCUUAACACAUGCAAGUCGAGCGAUGAGAUCCCUUCGGGGAUGGAUUAGCGGCGAACGGGUGAGGAACACGUGAAGAAUCUGCCUUCAACUCUGGGAUAACACCGGGAAACCGGUGCUAAUACCGGAUAUGAGCCUUGAUCGCAUGAUCGGGGCUGGAAAGUUUUUCGGUUGAAGAUGACUUCGCGGCCUAUCAGCUAGUUGGUGAGGUGAUAGCUCACCAAGGCGACGACGGGUAGCCGGCCUGAGAGGGCGACCGGCCACACUGGGACUGAGACACGGCCCAGACUCCUACGGGAGGCAGCAGUGGGGAAUAUUGGGCAAUGGAGGAAACUCUGACCCAGCGACGCCGCGUGAGGGAUGAAGGCCUUCGGGUUGUAAACCUCUUUCAGCAGGGAAGAAGCGAAAGUGACGGUACCUGCAGAAGAAGCACCGGCUAACUAUGUGCCAGCAGCCGCGGUAAUACAUAGGGUGCAAGCGUUGUCCGGAAUUAUUGGGCGUAAAGAGCUCGUAGGUGGUUAGUUACGUCGGAUGUGAAAAUCUAGGGCUCAACCCUAGACCUGCAUCCGAUACGGGCUAGCUUGAGUUUGGUAGGGGAGACUGGAAUUCCUGGUGUAGCGGUGGAAUGCGCAGAUAUCAGGAGGAACACCAAUGGCGAAGGCAGGUCUCUGGGCCAAUACUGACACUGAGGAGCGAAAGUGUGGGGAGCGAACAGGAUUAGAUACCCUGGUAGUCCACACAGUAAACGAUGGGCACUAGUUGUGGGAACCUUCCACGGUUUCUGCGACGCAGCUAACGCAUUAAGUGCCCCGCCUGGGGAGUACGAUCGCAAGAUAAAAACUCNAAGGAAUUGACGGGGCCCCGCACAAGCAGCGGAGCAUGCGGCNUAAUUCGAC